GAUGAACGCUGGCGGCGUGCCUAAUACAUGCAAGUCGAGCGAACAGACGAGGAGCUUGCUCCUCUGACGUUAUCGGCGGACGGGUGAGUAACACGUGGAUAACCUACCUAUAAGACUGGGAUAACUUCGGGAAACCGGAGCUAAUACCGGAUAAUAUAUUGAACCGCAUGGUUCAAUAGUGAAAGACGGUUUUGCUGUCACUUAUAGAUGGAUCCGCGCCGCAUUAGCUAGUUGGUAAGGUAACGGCUUACCAAGGCAACGAUGCGUAGCCGACCUGAGCGGGUGAUCGGCCACACUGGAACUGAGACACGGUCCAGACUCCUACGGGAGGCAGCAGUAGGGAAUCUUCCGCAAUGGGCGAAAGCUUGACGGAGCAACGCCGCGUGAGUGAUGAAGGUCUUCGGAUCGUAAAACUCUGUUAUUAGGGAAGAACAAAUGUGUAAGUAACUAUGCACGUCUUGACGGUACCUAAUCAGAAAGCCACGGCUAACUACGUG
This 497-nucleotide ribosomal RNA is filed under the name uncultured bacterium. Its description in RNAcentral is "partial 16S ribosomal RNA". It matches the Rfam family "Bacterial small subunit ribosomal RNA", at positions 28 to 507 of the family's 1533-position model. The record is from RNAcentral.